CUAAUACAUGCAAGUCGAGCGAAUGGAUUAAGAGCUUGCUCUUAUNAAGUUAGCGGCGGACGGGUGAGUAACACGUGGGUAACCUGCCCAUAAGACUGGGAUAACUCCGGGAAACCGGGGCUAAUACCGGAUAACAUUUUGAACCGCAUGGUUCGAAAUUGAAAGGCGGCUUCGGCUGUCACUUAUGGAUGGACCCGCGUCGCAUUAGCUAGUUGGUGAGGUAACGGNUCACCAAUGNAACGAUGCGUANCCGACCUGANAGGGUGAUCGGCCACACUGGGACUGANACACGGCCCANACUCCUACNGGAGGCAGCANNAGGGAAUCUUCCNCAAUGGACGAAAGUCUGACNGAGCAACNCCGCGUGANUGAUGAAGGCUUUCNGGUCGUAAAACUCUGUUGUUAGGGAAGAANAANUGCUANUUGAAUAANCUGGNNCCUUGACGGNACCUAACC
Molecule: ribosomal RNA, 456 nt
Filed under: uncultured bacterium
Lineage: Bacteria
Description: partial 16S ribosomal RNA
Rfam family: Bacterial small subunit ribosomal RNA
Source: RNAcentral